Molecule: ribosomal RNA, 2923 nt
Filed under: Enterobacteriaceae bacterium ENNIH2
Lineage: Bacteria; Pseudomonadati; Pseudomonadota; Gammaproteobacteria; Enterobacterales; Enterobacteriaceae
Also listed under: 1 other name
Description: 23S ribosomal RNA
Rfam family: Bacterial large subunit ribosomal RNA
Source: RNAcentral
GGGUUGUGAGGUUAAGCGACUAAGCGUACACGGUGGAUGCCCUGGCAGUCAGAGGCGAUGAAGGACGUGCUAAUCUGCGAAAAGCGCCGGCGAGGUGAUAUGAACCUUUGACCCGGCGAUGUCCGAAUGGGGAAACCCAGUGCAAUCCGUUGCACUAUCGUUUGAUGAAUACAUAGUCAAACGAGGCGAACCGGGGGAACUGAAACAUCUAAGUACCCCGAGGAAAAGAAAUCAACCGAGAUUCCCCCAGUAGCGGCGAGCGAACGGGGAGCAGCCCAGAGCCUGAAUCAGCUUGUGUGUUAGUGGAACGGUCUGGAAAGUCCGGCGAUACAGGGUGACAGCCCCGUACACGAAAGCACACAGGCUGUGAGCUCGAUGAGUAGGGCGGGACACGUGGUAUCCUGUCUGAAUAUGGGGGGACCAUCCUCCAAGGCUAAAUACUCCUGACUGACCGAUAGUGAACCAGUACCGUGAGGGAAAGGCGAAAAGAACCCCGGCGAGGGGAGUGAAAAAGAACCUGAAACCGUGUACGUACAAGCAGUGGGAGCCUCUUAAUGGGGUGACUGCGUACCUUUUGUAUAAUGGGUCAGCGACUUAUAUUCUGUAGCAAGGUUAACCGAAUAGGGGAGCCGAAGGGAAACCGAGUCUUAACUGGGCGUUAAGUUGCAGGGUAUAGACCCGAAACCCGGUGAUCUAGCCAUGGGCAGGUUGAAGGUUGGGUAACACUAACUGGAGGACCGAACCGACUAAUGUUGAAAAAUUAGCGGAUGACUUGUGGCUGGGGGUGAAAGGCCAAUCAAACCGGGAGAUAGCUGGUUCUCCCCGAAAGCUAUUUAGGUAGCGCCUCGUGAAUUCAUCUCCGGGGGUAGAGCACUGUUUCGGCUAGGGGGCCAUCCCGGCUUACCAACCCGAUGCAAACUACGAAUACCGGAGAAUGUUAUCACGGGAGACACACGGCGGGUGCUAACGUCCGUCGUGAAGAGGGAAACAACCCAGACCGCCAGCUAAGGUCCCAAAGUCAUGGUUAAGUGGGAAACGAUGUGGGAAGGCACAGACAGCCAGGAUGUUGGCUUAGAAGCAGCCAUCAUUUAAAGAAAGCGUAAUAGCUCACUGGUCGAGUCGGCCUGCGCGGAAGAUGUAACGGGGCUAAACCAUGCACCGAAGCUGCGGCAGCGACACUAUGUGUUGUUGGGUAGGGGAGCGUUCUGUAAGCCUGUGAAGGUGUGCUGUGAGGCAUGCUGGAGGUAUCAGAAGUGCGAAUGCUGACAUAAGUAACGAUAAAGCGGGUGAAAAGCCCGCUCGCCGGAAGACCAAGGGUUCCUGUCCAACGUUAAUCGGGGCAGGGUGAGUCGACCCCUAAGGCGAGGCCGAAAGGCGUAGUCGAUGGGAAACAGGUUAAUAUUCCUGUACUUGGUGUUACUGCGAAGGGGGGACGGAGAAGGCUAUGUUAGCCGGGCGACGGUUGUCCCGGUUUAAGCAUGUAGGCUGGUUAUCCAGGCAAAUCCGGAUAAUCAAGGCUGAGGUGUGAUGACGAGGCACUACGGUGCUGAAGUAACAAAUGCCCUGCUUCCAGGAAAAGCCUCUAAGCAUCAGGUAACAUCAAAUCGUACCCCAAACCGACACAGGUGGUCAGGUAGAGAAUACCAAGGCGCUUGAGAGAACUCGGGUGAAGGAACUAGGCAAAAUGGUGCCGUAACUUCGGGAGAAGGCACGCUGAUAUGUAGGUGAAGCCCCUGCGGGCGGAGCUGAAAUCAGUCGAAGAUACCAGCUGGCUGCAACUGUUUAUUAAAAACACAGCACUGUGCAAACACGAAAGUGGACGUAUACGGUGUGACGCCUGCCCGGUGCCGGAAGGUUAAUUGAUGGGGUUAUCCGUAAGGAGAAGCUCUUGAUCGAAGCCCCGGUAAACGGCGGCCGUAACUAUAACGGUCCUAAGGUAGCGAAAUUCCUUGUCGGGUAAGUUCCGACCUGCACGAAUGGCGUAAUGAUGGCCAGGCUGUCUCCACCCGAGACUCAGUGAAAUUGAACUCGCUGUGAAGAUGCAGUGUACCCGCGGCAAGACGGAAAGACCCCGUGAACCUUUACUAUAGCUUGACACUGAACAUUGAGCCUUGAUGUGUAGGAUAGGUGGGAGGCUUUGAAGCGUGGACGCCAGUCUGCGUGGAGCCAACCUUGAAAUACCACCCUUUAAUGUUUGAUGUUCUAACGUGGACCCGUGAUCCGGGUUGCGGACAGUGUCUGGUGGGUAGUUUGACUGGGGCGGUCUCCUCCCAAAGAGUAACGGAGGAGCACGAAGGUUGGCUAAUCCUGGUCGGACAUCAGGAGGUUAGUGCAAUGGCAUAAGCCAGCUUGACUGCGAGCGUGACGGCGCGAGCAGGUGCGAAAGCAGGUCAUAGUGAUCCGGUGGUUCUGAAUGGAAGGGCCAUCGCUCAACGGAUAAAAGGUACUCCGGGGAUAACAGGCUGAUACCGCCCAAGAGUUCAUAUCGACGGCGGUGUUUGGCACCUCGAUGUCGGCUCAUCACAUCCUGGGGCUGAAGUAGGUCCCAAGGGUAUGGCUGUUCGCCAUUUAAAGUGGUACGCGAGCUGGGUUUAGAACGUCGUGAGACAGUUCGGUCCCUAUCUGCCGUGGGCGCUGGAGAAUUGAGGGGGGCUGCUCCUAGUACGAGAGGACCGGAGUGGACGCAUCACUGGUGUUCGGGUUGUCAUGCCAAUGGCACUGCCCGGUAGCUACAUGCGGAAGAGAUAAGUGCUGAAAGCAUCUAAGCACGAAACUUGCCCCGAGAUGAGUUCUCCCCUGGACUUUAAGUCCACUAAAGGAACGUUGAAGACGACGACGUUGAUAGGCCGGGUGUGUAAGCGCAGCGAUGCGUUGAGCUAACCGGUACUAAUGAACCGUGAGGCUUAACCUUACAACGCCGAAG